UUUGAAGCGCGGAAUGCAUUUUUAACAACAUCAGGACUAAUUGGGGAGUUGACGAUUUGGAAAAAUCCCGUAGAUUCACAAGCGGCGCGAAGUUGUUGAAUAAUACGCUCAUGAGCACCGGGUUCUUGGUUUACGUACGGACCGAAGUCGAUCAGGGGCAUGAUACGAUUUUGUUCCUCCAACGAGGCCUCACGAACAUACUGAGUAGAGCGUUCAAUUAGUUGCGAAAGCAUUAUGCAGAAUGUGAAUUAAGUAGAAAAGAAAAAAUUAAAAAUAAUAGGAUUUAAAAUGCAAAAGCAGGAUUUGAAAAUGUGAAAGGAUGAUGUAAAAAUGGGUG
Schizosaccharomyces pombe (fission yeast) is the source of this 337-nucleotide non-coding RNA. The record is from the annotation of a GenBank genome assembly. NCBI's taxonomy places the organism in Eukaryota, Fungi, Ascomycota, Schizosaccharomycetes, Schizosaccharomycetales, Schizosaccharomycetaceae.